RNAcentral lists this ribosomal RNA (811 nucleotides) under Quadratum sp. NJAUAcariEriYN304.4. RNAcentral describes it as "partial 28S ribosomal RNA". It matches the Rfam family "Eukaryotic large subunit ribosomal RNA", at positions 366 to 816 of the family's 3401-position model. The record is from RNAcentral. Lineage: Eukaryota; Metazoa; Arthropoda; Arachnida; Trombidiformes; Eriophyidae.
AAAUAGAACUUUGCAGAGAGAGUUAACAGGGCGUGAAACCGUUAAUUGGCAAACGAAUCGGAGCCACGAAGUCGUUUCGCUGAUUAGUUGGGCCGAGUUCAGCUUGGAACGAAAGUAUCCGAGUGUAUUCUCGUCAGUCCAACCAUCUUUGUAAGCGUACACUGCAACCAGUUAGACGAUUGGUGAUGGGCACAGUUAGGAGACGAUUCGUCGUCUUUUAACGAAGCACUUGUUUACCCGGGUUAGUAGUAGCGUGGUGUUCAGCAAUGUUCGCCAUGUUGCUGGAUUCGUGGUGAGUGAACUAUUACCAAAUACUGACUGGCAAAAUGAAAAUCGCACCUAGUGUGCGUAGCACAAAACGCAGCUAACUGCAUUGGGGUUUACAUGUUUGACCAUGGGGUUUUAAGCUCAGCAUUCUUGAAUUUGGACUUGCUAGCUACCAGUGGGGCAACUCCUGGUGCUAGUAUAGCUUCCAUCUAAUCGGGUGUUGACUUGAUUCUAUGUUGUUUGAGCAUGCUACGAUCGAAUUCCAAUGCAAGCUAGUUCGCAAUUUGAUUGGCAGUGAGUAGGUCGGCUUUCCGAACGACCCGUCUUGAAACACGGACCAAGGAGUCUAAUUAGGCAUCGAGUCGAUCGGUCUUGAAUAGGCCAGACUGUGUGGUGUUAAAGCCAUACGAUUGAAGGCGUAGAGAAAUCAAAUCAUGUGAUCGUGGGGCCAACAACAGGCCUCACGCGCAACAUGUGCCUGUUCGUAUAACAAUGUUACUCACGUAACUUGUUGGGCGGAGCAAGGAGAUGCCUGAUUGGUACC